Molecule: ribosomal RNA, 463 nt
Filed under: uncultured Rhodocyclaceae bacterium
Lineage: Bacteria; Pseudomonadati; Pseudomonadota; Betaproteobacteria; Rhodocyclales; Rhodocyclaceae
Description: bacterial SSU rRNA
Rfam family: Bacterial small subunit ribosomal RNA
Source: RNAcentral
ACCCGCACAAGCGGUGGAUGAUGUGGAUUAAUUCGAUGCAACGCGAAAACCUUACCUACCCUUGACAUGUCCGGAAUCCCGAAGAGAUUUGGGAGUGCUCGCAAGAGAACCGGAACACAGGUGCUGCAUGGCUGUCGUCAGCUCGUGUCGUGAGAUGUUGGGUUAAGUCCCGCAACGAGCGCAACCCUUGUCAUUAGUUGCCAUCAUUUGGUUGGGCACUCUAAUGAGACUGCCGGUGACAAACCGGAGGAAGGUGGGGAUGACGUCAAGUCCUCAUGGCCCUUAUGGGUAGGGCUUCACACGUCAUACAAUGGUCGGUACAGAGGGUUGCCAACCCGCGAGGCGGAGCCAAUCCCACAAAGCCGAUCGUAGUCCGGAUUGUUCUCUGCAACUCGAGAGCAUGAAGUCGGAAUCGCUAGUAAUCGCAGGUCAGCAUACUGCGGUGAAUACGUUCCCGGGUCUU